This 77-nucleotide transfer RNA is filed under the name Bacillota bacterium. RNAcentral describes it as "tRNA-Arg". It matches the Rfam family "tRNA". From Rfam's summary of the family: Transfer RNA (tRNA) molecules are approximately 80 nucleotides in length. Their secondary structure includes four short double-helical elements and three loops (D, anti-codon, and T loops). The record is from RNAcentral. Lineage: Bacteria; Bacillati; Bacillota.
GCGCCCGUAGCUCAGCAGGAUAGAGCAUUCGCCUCCUAAGCGAAAGGUCGCGCGUUCGAAUCGCGCUGGGCGCGCCA